UUUGACCUCAAAUCAGGUAGGACUACCCGCUGAACUUAAGCAUAUCAAUAAGCGGAGGAAAAGAAACCAACAGGGAUUGCCUUAGUAGCGGCGAGUGAAGCGGCAAAAGCUCAAAUUUGAAAUCUGGUACCUUUGGUGCCCGAGUUGUAAUUUGAAGAAGGAUACUUUGGUGCUGGCUCUUGUCUAUGUUCCUUGGAACAGGACGUCACAGAGGGUGAGAAUCCCGUGCGAUGAGAUGACCAGUGCCAUGUAAAGUGCCUUCGAAGAGUCGAGUUGUUUGGGAAUGCAGCUCUAAGUGGGUGGUAAAUUCCAUCUAAAGCUAAAUAUUGGCGAGAGACCGAUAGCGAACAAGUACAGUGAUGGAAAGAUGAAAAGAACUUUGAAAAGAGAGUGAAAAAGUACGUGAAAUUGUUGAAAGGGAAGGGCUUGAGAUCAGACUUGGUAUUUUGUAUGUCUUGCUUUCGGGCGGGGCCUCUGCAGUUUACUGGGCCAGCAUCGGUUCGGGUGGCAGGACAAUUGCGGAGGAACGUGGCACCCUCGGGUGUGUUAUAGCCUCUGUCGAUACUGCCUGUCUGGACCGAGGUCUGCGACGUUUGUCUAGGAUGCUGGCAUAA
Molecule: ribosomal RNA, 614 nt
Filed under: Hemisphaericaspora xylofermentans
Lineage: Eukaryota; Fungi; Ascomycota; Pichiomycetes; Serinales; Debaryomycetaceae
Description: LSU rRNA
Rfam family: Eukaryotic large subunit ribosomal RNA
Source: RNAcentral